Molecule: ribosomal RNA, 543 nt
Filed under: uncultured bacterium
Lineage: Bacteria
Description: bacterial SSU rRNA
Rfam family: Bacterial small subunit ribosomal RNA
Source: RNAcentral
AACGCUGGCGGCGUGCUUAACACAUGCAAGUCGAGUGCGCGGUGCUGUAGCAAUACGGUACUGGCGCACGGCGCACGGGUGCGUAACACGUGGGUAAUCUGCCCUCUGAUGGGGAAUAACCCGCCGAAAGGCGGGCUAAUACCGCAUAACAUUCUUUGGACUCCGGUUUGAGGAUUCAAAGCCGUAAGGCGUCGGAGGUGGAGCCCGCGCACGAUUAGCUAGUUGGUAGGGUAACAGCCUACCAAGGCUAUGAUCGUUAGCUGGUCUGAGAGGAUGGCCAGCCACACUGGAACUGAGACACGGUCCAGACUCCUACGGGAGGCAGCAGUGGGGAAUCUUGCGCAAUGGGCGAAAGCCUGACGCAGCGACGCCGCGUGGGGGAUGAAGCUUCUCGGAGUGUAAACCCCUUUCGACCGGGACGAAUACCUCGCAAGAGGGGUGACGGUACCGGUAUAAGAAGCCCCGGCUAACUACGUGCCAGCAGCCGCGGUAAGACGUAGGGGGCCAGCGUUGUUCGGAAUUACUGGGUGUAAAGGGUUCGUA